Long non-coding RNA from Bufo gargarizans (Asiatic toad), 444 nucleotides. RefSeq lists it as uncharacterized. NCBI's taxonomy places the organism in Eukaryota, Metazoa, Chordata, Amphibia, Anura, Bufonidae. The record is from RefSeq and is a predicted model, not a curated record. The transcript has 4 exons.
AGGAUUUUUUUCUACGUUCAGAAAAGCGGAUUCUUGACGGAGCGUCCAUUCACGUUCAUUGUAGUAAAUGAGAAACGGAUUGUUCAAUUUUUAUUUCGCGGACAUAGCGUUCCUAAAGUACGUUUUUUUUGUUGCUGAACAUGCGCAGAACAAACAGGAACUUACAAACGAAGACAGGAAACAAGGGAGUGUCAUGUGACAGUCACGUGAGCGCUACUCCUCACCAUUUCUGAAGGCUGAUGUGCAAGUUGGAGAAAGUCUCAAGAAAAGGAUGUCUUCGCCUUGUCCUUCGGUUUGCAGUCGAAGUACCCCCUCCUUUCACAUGCAGGGACACUCCGACACUGAAUCCUCUGCUGGCGAGGAAUUGCGUUUUUCUCCUGAACCAAUGGAGUCAACACAGGAGGGUACACAUUCAAUAGAAAAUCCGCGAAGUAGACGUCAUAA